This 68-nucleotide transfer RNA is filed under the name Marmota monax (woodchuck). RNAcentral's name for it is "tRNA.Ala". Lineage: Eukaryota; Metazoa; Chordata; Mammalia; Rodentia; Sciuridae. The record is from RNAcentral.
GGCGUGUAGCUCAGUGGUAGAUCUCUUGUUUGGCAUGCCCAAGGCCCUGGGUUUAAUCCCCAGCACCA